This 1273-nucleotide ribosomal RNA is filed under the name Salmonella enterica. Its description in RNAcentral is "partial 23S ribosomal RNA". It matches the Rfam family "Bacterial large subunit ribosomal RNA", at positions 161 to 1479 of the family's 2925-position model. RNAcentral also lists the same sequence under 1 other name. Lineage: Bacteria; Pseudomonadati; Pseudomonadota; Gammaproteobacteria; Enterobacterales; Enterobacteriaceae. The record is from RNAcentral.
AAUCCAUAGGUUAAUGAGGCGAACCGGGGGAACUGAAACAUCUAAGUACCCCGAGGAAAAGAAAUCAACCGAGAUUCCCCCAGUAGCGGCGAGCGAACGGGGAGGAGCCCAGAGCCUGAAUCAGCAUGUGUGUUAGUGGAAGCGUCUGGAAAGGCGCGCGAUACAGGGUGACAGCCCCGUACACAAAAGCGCAUGUGCUGUGAGCUCGAUGAGUAGGGCGGGACACGUGGUAUCCUGUCUGAAUAUGGGGGGACCAUCCUCCAAGGCUAAAUACUCCUGACUGACCGAUAGUGAACCAGUACCGUGAGGGAAAGGCGAAAAGAACCCCGGCGAGGGGAGUGAAAAAGAACCUGAAACCGUGUACGUACAAGCAGUGGGAGCACCCUUUGGGUGUGACUGCGUACCUUUUGUAUAAUGGGUCAGCGACUUAUAUUCUGUAGCAAGGUUAACCGAAUAGGGGAGCCGGAGGGAAACCGAGUCUUAACCGGGCGUUAAGUUGCAGGGUAUAGACCCGAAACCCGGUGAUCUAGCCAUGGGCAGGUUGAAGGUUGGGUAACACUAACUGGAGGACCGAACCGACUAAUGUUGAAAAAUUAGCGGAUGACCUGUGGCUGGGGGUGAAAGGCCAAUCAAACCGGGAGAUAGCUGGUUCUCCCCGAAAGCUAUUUAGGUAGCGCCUCGUGAAUUCAUCUCCGGGGGUAGAGCACUGUUUCGGCUAGGGGGCCAUCCCGGCUUACCAACCCGAUGCAAACUGCGAAUACCGGAGAAUGUUAUCACGGGAGACACACGGCGGGUGCUAACGUCCGUCGUGAAGAGGGAAACAACCCAGACCGCCAGCUAAGGUCCCAAAGUCAUGGUUAAGUGGGAAACGAUGUGGGAAGGCCCAGACAGCCAGGAUGUUGGCUUAGAAGCAGCCAUCAUUUAAAGAAAGCGUAAUAGCUCACUGGUCGAGUCGGCCUGCGCGGAAGAUGUAACGGGGCUAAACCAUGCACCGAAGCUGCGGCAGCGACACUGUGUGUUGUUGGGUAGGGGAGCGUUCUGUAAGCCUGUGAAGGUGUGUCGUGAGGCAUGCUGGAGGUAUCAGAAGUGCGAAUGCUGACAUAAGUAACGAUAAAGCGGGUGAAAAGCCCGCUCGCCGGAAGACCAAGGGUUCCUGUCCAACGUUAAUCGGGGCAGGGUGAGUCGACCCCUAAGGCGAGGCCGAAAGGCGUAGUCGAUGGGAAACGGGUUAAUAUUCCCGUACUUGGUGUUACUGCGAAGGGGGGACGGAGAA